UUUCCGUAGGUGAACCUGCGGAAGGAUCAUUCAUAAUAAGUGUUUUAUGGCACUUUUUUAAAUCCAUAUCCACCUUGUGUGCAAUGUCAGGGUUGGUCUCUUUCGAUCAGCCCCAAACAUCAACUAUUAUCUCAACUCUUUGUCUGAAAGAUAUUAUGAAUAAAACAAUUCAAAAUACAACUUUCAACAACGGAUCUCUUGGCUCUC
Molecule: unclassified non-coding RNA, 207 nt
Filed under: plant metagenome
Description: partial contains small subunit ribosomal RNA, internal transcribed spacer 1, and 5.8S ribosomal RNA
Source: RNAcentral